Molecule: ribosomal RNA, 363 nt
Filed under: uncultured Streptococcus sp.
Lineage: Bacteria; Bacillati; Bacillota; Bacilli; Lactobacillales; Streptococcaceae
Description: bacterial SSU rRNA
Rfam family: Bacterial small subunit ribosomal RNA
Source: RNAcentral
UUCGGUACAUCGGUGACAGGUGGUGCAUGGUUGUCGUCAGCUCGUGUCGUGAGAUGUUGGGUUAAGUCCCGCAACGAGCGCAACCCCUAUUGUUAGUUGCCAUCAUUCAGUUGGGCACUCUAGCGAGACUGCCGGUAAUAAACCGGAGGAAGGUGGGGAUGACGUCAAAUCAUCAUGCCCCUUAUGACCUGGGCUACACACGUGCUACAAUGGUUGGUACAACGAGUUGCGAGUCGGUGACGGCGAGCUAAUCUCUUAAAGCCAAUCUCAGUUCGGAUUGUAGGCUGCAACUCGCCUACAUGAAGUCGGAAUCGCUAGUAAUCGCGGAUCAGCACGCCGCGGUCGAAUACGUUCCCGGGCCUU